ACAACUCCAGGAGACACUGCUCAUGUCCAGUACAAGGCGAAUGGUUCUCCCUGGAGCUGUGC
This 62-nucleotide microRNA precursor is filed under the name Dasypus novemcinctus (nine-banded armadillo). RNAcentral describes it as "miRNA (ENSDNOG00000041531.1)". Lineage: Eukaryota; Metazoa; Chordata; Mammalia; Cingulata; Dasypodidae. The record is from RNAcentral.